AUUAUACUCGCUCCGUCCCGAAAUACUUGCCGGAGAAAUGGAUAAAAUUGGAUGUAUCUAUAACUAAAAUACGUUUAGAUUCAUCCUUUUUUCGACAAGUAUUUCUGGACGGAGGGAGUACUUG
Non-coding RNA from Triticum urartu, 124 nucleotides. The record is from Rfam. NCBI's taxonomy places the organism in Eukaryota, Viridiplantae, Streptophyta, Magnoliopsida, Poales, Poaceae.